CGACGUUCUCAUCGCGUCAUCGUGCAUUUCCGUUUCGCCAUCUUUUAUCUCCGGGAAGCGUGUGUCGUUUCGCGUCCUGUCUUAUCGCGUAGUUUUACGGACUACUGACUUGGUUCUUGUACGAGCCGCAAAAUGCCGGGUUUUAGCAGCGUUGGCACGUUUAAAAUCUUCAUUGGUAAUUUAGCCGACAAGACUUCGAAUGCGGACAUAAAGCCAUUAUUCGAGAAGUAUGGGAAAGUCGUGGAAUGCGACGUGGUAAAGAAUUAUGGCUUCGUGCAUAUGGAAAAUGAGGAGGCAGGCCGAAACGCGAUACAGAAUCUGAAUGGACACAUGGUUCAUGGGCAACCGAUCAAAUGCGAGGCUGCAAAGAGUCGCAAGGGACCCAACACUCCCACAACUAAGAUCUUUGUCGGCAAUCUCACAGACAACACUAAGGCGCCGCAAGUGCGUGAACUGUUCGCCAAGUACGGCACCGUUGUUGAAUGCGACAUUGUACGAAACUACGGUUUCGUUCAUCUCGAGGCAACUGGCGACGUCAACGACGCUAUUAAGGAGCUCAACGGGCAGAUCGUCGAUGGACAACCGAUGAAAGUCCAGAUUUCCACUAGCCGAGUUCGACAGAGGCCAGGCAUGGGCGAUCCAGAGCAAUGCUACCGAUGCGGAAGAGGCGGUCACUGGUCCAAGGAGUGUCCCAAAGGAGGGAUGGGAGGUGGACCGGACAGGAAUGGAUACAGGGACCGAAUGUUUGGACGUGACCCAUAUCCUCCACCGCCGCCACCACCGUUCCUACGGGACCGGCUAAUGGGUGGUGGCCGCUUUGGGGAUUAUGAAAGCUACUACGACAGGCGCGGCUUCGAGGACACCAGGGACCUCUACGAGAGGCGGUUUACGGGUAUGACAGGGCCCAGUGACAUGGGAACAUCCAUGUGCGGGCUAGACUUUCCACCAAUGACAAUGCCACCUCUACCUCCAAGACGAGACCCAAUGCCUCCUAUGCCUCCUCUAGGUAUGGGAUCCAUGCGUGACACUGGCUUCUCCCGUGGCAAUGAGUAUGGAAUGUUCAGCCGCCGAUCUCCCCCUCCAAGUGGCAACAACGGCCGGUUCAGUAGAGGCAUGUACGAGGACUUCAGCCGAGAUUCGUUUGAAGAGCGUAGUCAAACUUGCAGACUCGGAGAUUGAGCAGGUCUACAGAAUCGGACUUGGCUGGAAGAUCGCUUUUCCACUCAACCGGCGGCAGGGCAGAGGCGACCAGCCACGUUCUGUAACUUUGUCACGCAGUCACCUCUCUUCCCCCCCAAAGUUACUUUAAGAGACACUGCGUGUCCCGAGCAAGCCUCUCUCAGAGUGACUUUGGACACACGAACGUGUAGAACCAGGCACGCUACUCAAUCAUCUCUGCAUUCUUGAGAUGUGGACGCGAUGAUAGCCCUCUGCUCGCCGGCGACGUCCACGAAGGAUGAUGUUACCCUCGAAGGAACGAGCGAGACGGGCUCGAGAGACGAGGGAGCUUCAAGUAGAAGCGACGAAGUUGAGAUCUGGUGGAGGAGCGACGUAGUGUGGACGAGAGGUAAUUGUCCAUCUCAGCACUCUGUACCACGUCGAAAGACACCGCGAGAAAGAGCGCGGGAGAGGGCGAGUCCGGAGAUCACGCGAGAAUCGGGAUUGCGUUGCCGCAUCCGAGGCCCCAAGGUCCUCCCGGUAUCGGUUCGGCGAGAAGCGGCGCUUCUUCUUCACUCUAGGGGAGAGCCCCGUCUCCGUGAGAGGAAUCUUCUGUAGAGUAUGGACAAAACUGAGAUGCGCUACGACGUGCUUGAACACGCCAAAUCUCGCCUUAGAGCGGAAGAUUCUCGAGAGUCUCUUUCUCUCUCCGCUCGGCGGGAGCACGAAGGUAUCGUAAGAACGAAUACUUUCCCCGCGCUGCGAUUCCUGUAAAAUAUCAAAUAAAUAUCAGACACGUGAUACAAGAGCGUCCUAAUGAAAUAAUGCGAUUGUUCAAGUGAUAUCGUUUCAAGUGAUCACGUUUGCAUUUUAAUGUUUUUGCUGGUUCUUUUUGCUCGAAAAAGUAAAAUUGUAAUCUUAAUUCUUAUUCACGGCGAAUUCUUAUAUUUUUUUUUUACAUUUAUUUGAAAGUUUAAUUUAUCGAGAUUACAGCGAUUUUAAUAUUAUCUUUUUUUUUUUUGUUGAUGUUUAAACAUCCGGUCUCUCUUUUGAUCUACCACCAUGUUAAAUGAUGACAAAAGCGAAAAAUGAUAUAAAUCUUUUUAAACUGUUCGUCGAAAUUAAUUUUUUUCAGCAUGCUGUUACUUUAGUUCGAUAGAAUAUAUUGAUAGAAUAUCGCAAAAUUUCAUUAUUCUGUGUUAAAUUGAUAUAAAAUCGAAUCGAGUUAUAUUUUUAGCGAAAGGUAUGUAAUAUCAAUUGAUUAAAAAAACUUCAAAGA
Molecule: unclassified non-coding RNA, 2437 nt
Organism: Pogonomyrmex barbatus (red harvester ant)
Lineage: Eukaryota; Metazoa; Arthropoda; Insecta; Hymenoptera; Formicidae
Source: RefSeq, a predicted model, not a curated record